RNAcentral lists this transfer RNA (85 nucleotides) under Candidatus Berkiella aquae. RNAcentral's name for it is "tRNA-Leu". It matches the Rfam family "tRNA". Rfam says of the family: Transfer RNA (tRNA) molecules are approximately 80 nucleotides in length. Their secondary structure includes four short double-helical elements and three loops (D, anti-codon, and T loops). RNAcentral also lists the same sequence under 1 other name. Lineage: Bacteria; Pseudomonadati; Pseudomonadota; Gammaproteobacteria; Candidatus Berkiellales; Candidatus Berkiellaceae. The record is from RNAcentral.
GCCGAAGUGGUGAAAUUGGUAGACACACUAUCUUGAGGGGGUAGCGGCGCAAGCCAUGCCGGUUCGAGUCCGGCCUUCGGCACCA